This 289-nucleotide unclassified non-coding RNA is filed under the name fungal sp. RNAcentral describes it as "partial internal transcribed spacer region". Lineage: Eukaryota; Fungi. The record is from RNAcentral.
AAGUCGUAGGUGAACCUGCGGAAGGAUCAUUAACACGUAUCCAAACGUUAAAAAAAAACAAAUACCCCGUGAAUUGUACUUACGCUUAAAUCAUCGCGGAACAGCGUGAAGUCUAAGACGAGGCGAAGUAGUGGCCUUGUCAUGAGCUUUGUAACGAUGGCGAGAGGCCAUCACGACCGGCGACCUGGCCAGAGCGCGAGCCCCCCUGAUCACCCCUUUGAAAACGGGCCUGCGCUUAAUUGUGCGGCCACCAAACUCGAAACAACUGCUAACAAUGGAUAUCUUGGUU